RNAcentral lists this ribosomal RNA (1618 nucleotides) under Escherichia coli. RNAcentral's name for it is "bacterial LSU rRNA". It matches the Rfam family "Bacterial large subunit ribosomal RNA", at positions 1327 to 2925 of the family's 2925-position model. The record is from RNAcentral. Lineage: Bacteria; Pseudomonadati; Pseudomonadota; Gammaproteobacteria; Enterobacterales; Enterobacteriaceae.
AGCCCGCUCGCCGGAAGACCAAGGGUUCCUGUCCAACGUUAAUCGGGGCAGGGUGAGUCGACCCCUAAGGCGAGGCCGAAAGGCGUAGUCGAUGGGAAACAGGUUAAUAUUCCUGUACUUGGUGUUACUGCGAAGGGGGGACGGAGAAGGCUAUGUUGGCCGGGCGACGGUUGUCCCGGUUUAAGCGUGUAGGCUGGUUUUCCAGGCAAAUCCGGAAAACCAAGGCUGAGGCGUGAUGACGAGGCACUACGGUGCUGAAGUGACAAAUGCCCUGCUUCCAGGAAAAGCCUCUAAGCAUCAGGUAACAUCAAAUCGUACCCCAAACCGACACAGGUGGUCAGGUAGAGAAUACCAAGGCGCUUGAGAGAACUCGGGUGAAGGAACUAGGCAAAAUGGUGCCGUAACUUCGGGAGAAGGCACGCUGAUAUGUAGGUGAAGCGACUUGCUCGUGGAGCUGAAAUCAGUCGAAGAUACCAGCUGGCUGCAACUGUUUAUUAAAAACACAGCACUGUGCAAACACGAAAGUGGACGUAUACGGUGUGACGCCUGCCCGGUGCCGGAAGGUUAAUUGAUGGGGUUAGCGGUAACGCGAAGCUCUUGAUCGAAGCCCCGGUAAACGGCGGCCGUAACUAUAACGGUCCUAAGGUAGCGAAAUUCCUUGUCGGGUAAGUUCCGACCUGCACGAAUGGCGUAAUGAUGGCCAGGCUGUCUCCACCCGAGACUCAGUGAAAUUGAACUCGCUGUGAAGAUGCAGUGUACCCGCGGCAAGACGGAAAGACCCCGUGAACCUUUACUAUAGCUUGACACUGAACAUUGAGCCUUGAUGUGUAGGAUAGGUGGGAGGCUUUGAAGUGUGGACGCCAGUCUGCAUGGAGCCGACCUUGAAAUACCACCCUUUAAUGUUUGAUGUUCUAACGUUGGCCCCUAAUCGGGGUUGCGGACAGUGUCUGGUGGGUAGUUUGACUGGGGCGGUCUCCUCCUAAAGAGUAACGGAGGAGCACGAAGGUUGGCUAAUCCUGGUCGGACAUCAGGAGGUUAGUGCAAUGGCAUAAGCCAGCUUGACUGCGAGCGUGACGGCGCGAGCAGGUGCGAAAGCAGGUCAUAGUGAUCCGGUGGUUCUGAAUGGAAGGGCCAUCGCUCAACGGAUAAAAGGUACUCCGGGGAUAACAGGCUGAUACCGCCCAAGAGUUCAUAUCGACGGCGGUGUUUGGCACCUCGAUGUCGGCUCAUCACAUCCUGGGGCUGAAGUAGGUCCCAAGGGUAUGGCUGUUCGCCAUUUAAAGUGGUACGCGAGCUGGGUUUAGAACGUCGUGAGACAGUUCGGUCCCUAUCUGCCGUGGGCGCUGGAGAACUGAGGGGGGCUGCUCCUAGUACGAGAGGACCGGAGUGGACGCAUCACUGGUGUUCGGGUUGUCAUGCCAAUGGCACUGCCCGGUAGCUAAAUGCGGAAGAGAUAAGUGCUGAAAGCAUCUAAGCACGAAACUUGCCCCGAGAUGAGUUCUCCCUGAGACUUAGAGUCUCCUGAAGGAACGUUGAAGACGACGACGUUGAUAGGCCGGGUGUGUAAGCGCAGCGAUGCGUUGAGCUAACCGGUACUAAUGAACCGUGAGGCUUAACC